RNAcentral lists this long non-coding RNA (1080 nucleotides) under Callithrix jacchus (white-tufted-ear marmoset). Its description in RNAcentral is "lncRNA (ENSCJAG00000063890.2)". The record is from RNAcentral. Lineage: Eukaryota; Metazoa; Chordata; Mammalia; Primates; Cebidae.
ACCAGUUUUAUUGAAUUAGGGUCCACGCUCACCUAAUUUUACUUUAAUCGCCCCCCUUUAAAGGCUCUAUCUACAAAUAUAAUCAGGACUGCAUUAUAUGAAUUUUGGGCGCAGGGAACACAAUUAAGCCCUGAUAUGGUUUGCUGUAUCCCCACCCAAAUCUGAUCUUGAAUCGUAGCUCCCAUAAUUCCUACAUGUCGGGGGAGGAACCCAGUUGGAGGUAGUUUAAUCAUGGGGAUAGGUUUUUCCUGUGCUGUUCUCGUGACAGUGACUAGAUCUCACGAGAUCUGAUGGUUUAUAUAAAGGGCAGUUCCCGCGCUCACACUCUUGCCUGCCACCCUGUGAGGUUUGUCUUUGUUGCUCCUUAGAGGUCCAUGGUGAUUGAGAGGCCUCCCCAGCCAUGUGAAACUUGACCUCUCAUUGAGGAGAGAGGGAAGAAGGACGAACGAAAAUGAGGUUUUCUCUGAUGGCAAGUCAAUUUAAGAGAACCCUCUGAUCAAUGAGUGUGCUUGGUUAAGCUCUUUGAAGAUUGGUUUGAACAACAUUCCAAGAAAAGACAUAGGUGCAAAUGCUAUAAAACUGGAGUGCACAGGUGUUUUUACGAAACCAAAAGCAAUGUGGCUGGGGCAAGUAAGCAACAAAGCAAGAAGACUGUGGGAAGAUGACAUUGUGCACAGACAAGAUUAUGUGGCGCCUUGAGGGACGUGGCAAGAAGUUGGAUUUUAGUUUCCUGCAGUAAAAACCUAUUGAUGGUGAUCUGAUUACAUUGAACAUCUCAGAAACAAAAUUAUGGCUGCUGGUUGGAUGAUAGGAGAAUAAGAGUGGAAAGCAAGGAGAUGGAAACUUAACAAGCGGUUGAUGUAAAUUUGGCUAGAGAUGAUGGUGAAUUUGUAAUCACUAAGAGGUGGUAGGAUUCAGGACAUAUGUUUUGAGGGAUCUUCCUGAUGAAUGAGAUGAGAGUGAGCAAAAGAGUGGAGUCAAGUGUGCAUGUUAGUUUUGUUUGUCUUCCCCUGAGGAAUUGGGUUGUCAUUGCUGCUGUUUGCUAAGAUGGGAAAAGCUUAGAAACAAGAACAUAAAAUA